AUUGAACGCUGGCGGCAUGCCUUACACAUGCAAGUCGGACGGCAGCACGGGAGCAAUCCUGGUGGCGAGUGGCGAACGGGUGAGUAAUGUAUCGGAACGUACCUUUCAGUGGGGGAUAACGUAGCGAAAGUUACGCUAAUACCGCAUAUUCUGUGAGCAGGAAAGCAGGGGAUCGCAAGACCUUGCGCUGAUUGAGCGGCCGAUAUCAGAUUAGCUAGUUGGUGAGGUAAAGGCUCACCAAGGCGACGAUCUGUAGCGGGUCUGAGAGGAUGAUCCGCCACACUGGAACUGAGACACGGUCCAGACUCCUACGGGAGGCAGCAGUGGGGAAUUUUGGACAAUGGGCGCAAGCCUGAUCCAGCCAUGCCGCGUGAGUGAAGAAGGCCUCGGUUGUAAG
RNAcentral lists this ribosomal RNA (397 nucleotides) under uncultured bacterium. RNAcentral describes it as "bacterial SSU rRNA". It matches the Rfam family "Bacterial small subunit ribosomal RNA", at positions 30 to 429 of the family's 1533-position model. The record is from RNAcentral.